RNAcentral lists this ribosomal RNA (136 nucleotides) under Disa tenuifolia. Its description in RNAcentral is "5.8S ribosomal RNA". It matches the Rfam family "5.8S ribosomal RNA". From Rfam's summary of the family: 5.8S ribosomal RNA (5.8S rRNA) is a component of the large subunit of the eukaryotic ribosome. Lineage: Eukaryota; Viridiplantae; Streptophyta; Magnoliopsida; Asparagales; Orchidaceae. The record is from RNAcentral.
UAGGACUCUCGGCAAUGGAUAUCUCGGAAAUGCGAUACGUGGUGCGAAUUGCAGAAUCCCGUGAACCAUCGACUCUUUGAACGCAAGUUGCGCCUGAGGCCAACUGGCUAAGGGCACGUCNGCCUGGGCNUCAAGC